AGAAGCAGAUGCCAAGACAGCAUUAAAUAAGGAAAUUAUGGCCAGUGUAAAAUGCUUGUGCUAAAAAACAAUGGGGAGAGGUCAGAUAUGGUUGGGAGACAAGUCAGACCCUGAUGCAAGUCUGAUCUCAAAUGAGGAAGAGAGAAGAAGAAUGUGAAGAAGGAAGUUGGGUGGGACCUUGUAGACUUCACUACAGUCAAUGGAAGGUUCAGCAAAGCUAUGGUUUUUCAGGGAAACUCCAUACUGCUUUCCAUAGCAGCUGCACGAAUUUACAUGGAAUGCUUUGUCUUCUUGAGCUGGUCUGCCUUAGUAUUGCUACUGCACCUACUCAUUGUCUGGGAGUCACCUGUGAGAUGCAUGUCCUCAGCUCAGAUACUGAGUUAUUUGCUCAUGGAUGAAUGAAAGAAAUGAGAUCGACUGAGUAGGCAAUCAGAAGAAACAGAAGGACAAGUAGAGGUUGAUCAGACAGACAAGGGAGAAAAGGGAAUCACAGGCUGAGAAGAGCACGUGGGAAGGCAUCCUCGUGUGAGCAGGACGUUCAGUAUAUGGAGGAACCGUGAGAAAAGCAGCUGAGCAAGUAGAAGCCGAAUCACAGAAACUUCCCAUGUCACACUGAAGAGUUUGGACUGUAUUCUUUAGGCCAAGGGAAAUCAUACAAGGAAAUGGAAUGAUAAGAUUUUUAGACAGAUCUUUCUGGCAGAGCAGAGGUUGGCUGGGAGUGUGGGGAAGGGAUAGACAUGGUGACAGUGGGGACAUGGAGACCAAUUAGGAGGAGGCUAUUACAAUAUUUCAAACAAGACACGGUUAGGGUUUGUCUUAAAGCCAAAGCAAUGGGAAUGAAGCAGUGGAAGGAAUCUGAUAAGUAUCUAGAAGCUUUAAGCAAAGGGACUUUGUAAUUGACUGUACACAGGCCGUGAAAGAGUGGGAGGAUGAGUCUUAGAUAUUUGGUGGUGGUGCCAUCCAUGACAACAGUGUCUUAGGAAAGAUAAUGAAUUCUGCUUUGGGACCUGAGUUGUGGGGAAAUAAUGGGACUCAUAAGCAAAUCGAAGAAAUGUGAUUCAAGAGAUAGCUAGAGAGCCGAGAGAGAGCUGAUUAUUACAUUGUACUUAACUGUGCUUUAUCUUUCCAUACCUUGGGCUAUCAUUCUUCCCUUCCAAUAAUUUUUUCAGGCUUCCAGAAUCUCUUAAUAUUCAUAUUAUGUGUAGAAGAUUGCUUUCAGAAUCCUCUAUUCUUUCCCAUAUGUAAAGGCUCCUUGACCUGGUGUACGUUUCAUGUGUUUUACUGAUCUUAUAGGGCCCAUCCCCAUCCCUUUUACCCCAAGGAUAAAAUUUAGAAAAAAACCUGGUAGCCCACUAGGUCAUUCUAACAGGAGAUUAUUUUUCAACAUAUAUUGAGAAC
Molecule: long non-coding RNA, 1398 nt
Organism: Eubalaena glacialis (North Atlantic right whale)
Lineage: Eukaryota; Metazoa; Chordata; Mammalia; Artiodactyla; Balaenidae
Exons: 3
Source: RefSeq, a predicted model, not a curated record